UAUCUCUUCGUUGCUGCAUUGCAAAGCGCAUUAGCGCGCGGUUGUUUUUCAAGCGUGCUACUGACUUGAAAAGGGUGGAGCGAUCGGCUGAAUACGCCAACUUCACAAUCACUGAAGCAGUGGAGUUGUUCUGUUUGAAUAUUCGAAACGCAGAGCGAAUCUGAAGCGCAGGCAAAUCCAAACUCUGGCACAGACUACCAAAGCGCCUUUCGAAGAUUCGCCAGCUGCAUGUCUCUUCAAUACGCUCAAGCCAUGAUGACGGUGGCGAGCAGCGUUGCCGGUUUUGAUAGCAACUAUCCGGAGAAAAUUCGAUCUAGCCGGCAGCCGAUUUGU
Rhagoletis pomonella (apple maggot) is the source of this 333-nucleotide long non-coding RNA. RefSeq lists it as uncharacterized. NCBI's taxonomy places the organism in Eukaryota, Metazoa, Arthropoda, Insecta, Diptera, Tephritidae. The transcript is spliced from 3 exons. The record is from RefSeq and is a predicted model, not a curated record.